AUCAGCAAACCCUCAUCUCUCUCAUCUCUUACCUCUCAUUUUCGUCCAGUCACCAAGAAGGAACAAAGGGAAGGAAAAACUUCAUCUUCUAGCUUCCAUUUCACUCCCAAAACCUUCACAAAUCAUCAUACAACUUCCACUUCACUUGUAGAGCAACUUCAGCUGAGGGAAAGGCAUAAUCUUGCUGGUUUUUCUUGGGUCUUGGAGGUGUAAAAUUUCUCGUUUCAUCUCAAAAACUAGGAGGUAAUCAUCUAAUCUUCUAGUCUUAGUUUUAGUGGAUGGAUCUUUGAUAUGAAACUUGUAGCUUCAUGUGGGUGUUGUUAUUUGGAUGAAAAAUGUUGGAGUGGGCUCUAUGAAAUCCCACAAUGGAUAUAUGGACUGAUUUGUGGUGUUUUGAUAUUAUUAAUGUUGGUUUAGUGUUUAAAUUAGUAGAAAUGAGUGAUGUUAUGGAUGAAAGCUCAAAGGGAGUGAAGAUGGAAAACUUUCCGUUUCUGCCCCUGUGAAUGUCCAUGACCCUUAGAGCAAAAUUUUGUGGUUCUACUGACUUGUUUAUGAUGUAUACAUGUUGUGUGGGUUGUGUAGAAAGUUUCAUCAAAAAAAUUUCAUGAUUUAGUUGACCAAAUGAUGUGUUUUCGGAAGUCAGUAAAAACUGGAAAUUUUCCCAUAACUGCUUUGGCAGUGUUUUUGUUUUGGCUAUAACUUUUUGUUUCAAUAUCGAAAUUGAGUACCAUUUAUGGCACUGGAAACUAGACAUUCCCAGAUUUCCAACGGUAUAAAAUGCACAUCCUAGUUCUACCUGAGUAGUCUAUACCAAUUGUUUGAACAUGACUGUCCUGUUUCGCAUCUACACUGGGAGCUCUGUUUUGAGCAGCGAAUUUGUGCCCAAAUAUGAGCUAGCCGUGGACAGAUUUUGGAAAUGAUUUCUUCUAAGAAAUUGUAUCUUUAUGAAUCUGGUUUUCAACGCCACUAACCACGCUCAAUUCUAAUUUGAAUUGAGUGAGUUAUGGCCUGAUUUUGAAAAUGUGAUAAAGUUGGAAAUCUGGAAAAAUCCUUUCCUUCAUGCUAGCCGACAGGUUUAGCUUGAUGUGGGAGGUUUUGUUUCGAAAUUCUUCAUAUCCAUUGUUUGUCAAGUACUUAUCGAAUGUUUCUAGAACACUGGUUUCACAAAUGAAUCAAAUUGGACUGAUUUCAUGAUACAAAGUGUUUGAAAAGAAAAGAGAAGCUUGAAUUGGCAGAUUUGCUUUGAAAAUUUCACAAACUUCAGUCAUCUUGUUAACUGCCUUUCCACGUGAGUUUUUGCGUGAAAUUUGGUAGAGAUAUAGUUCAUAUAUGGAAGUUUUAGUGUUCCAAAAUUGGUGUUAUUCUAAGACUAUUUUGAUACCCAAACGAUGUCCCAAAAUUGCUCUUCAAAUCUGGAAAAUUUUUCCUUUGCUCUUGGUUGAAUGGUCAAAUCUGAUUUGAGAAGUUAUAUUUCAAAAACCUUGAUGUCAAUUAUCUCUAAAUUGCUUAUUGGAUAUUUAUGAAACCCUGGUUACAACAUUUGAAUUAAUUGAGGUUGAUGGUGUGGAUCAAAGUUUUUUAAAAAGGAAGGAAACGUGAGAAGGCAGAUUAGGCUUGGAACAUUUUUUGAACUUUAGUUGUUUUAAUGAUUGCCUUCCCGUGGGAGUUUUUGUAUGAAACUUGGUAGAAAUGUUUUUCACACAUGGAAGACUUAGUGUAUCAAGUUUGGUGUAUUUCCAAUGCCAAAUCGAUGGCCAAAUGAUACUUCAAAGAUAGCCUUUCAAACCUGGAAAAUGACAAAACAGUUUAUAAAUUGCGACCAACUUUGAACUACUAUAUUUUGACACUCAAAACUCUGAUUUCAGUUCCGUUUGUUGUGUUUUAAACCUUGAUUGGAAUUCUAAUUGAGGUACAAAUUUCGGAGGCUAGUUCAUUUCUUGUGAAUUUUUCCGAAUUUCCAAAGUUUGCCAAAAAACAUGACUAAAACUAUCUUGCCUGUUCAGAUCAGCCUCUUUGAGCUGAAAAAUGAUUCUUGUCCAAUUUGAAUCUUAGAAAAGUUCUUCUAGGAAAUUUUUGUACUUUGAAACAAGAUUCCAACGGUAUAAGAUUUUCCAUUUUUUGACCUAUUGAGUGCAAGAUAUGAUUUUUUUAAAUUUGACGCACAAAGCCAAAAUUUGCCGAUUUCUUAGAAAAUGAAAUUUUGGAUACUUGACUUUUUAUCUUGAUAUUAAUCUAUCGUUUUGAACCCGAUUUCGUAGAAGAUAUGAGUUUCCUCAGUAACUUUAAAAUCCACACUUUUGAAUCUUAACUUUCGAUAAAAUAAAACCCUUAUGAAGACAUUGACUUGAAUUCUAAAGCAAGUAUGCAUUAUUUCUUGUUUGAUAAGGAAUUUGUGAAAUUGUGAGGGUGAUAUUUGGUCACUUUUCUUCAGGCGAUCAAGAAGGUCUCGAAGAGAAUCCCGAAAUGGAUUAUUGACGACUUUCUUUACUCACUUAUUUUGGUUGGUGAGUGUUCCAUAUAGGAAUACGUGAUUCGAAUAAUUUUAUGACAUGUUUACUCCAUGGUCAUUAUGUAUUUAAUUGUUAAAUGCUACCGAUAAUUGUUUCUAUGGACUUUUCCACCAUUUUGAGUCGAGUGUGUAUCUUACCGCACUCGUUUUCACUUAGUAAAAUGUACUUGAAUUAUUUGACAUGAAAUACUUGAAAUGCAUAUUUACGUGAAGUGUUUCAAUGAUUAAUUAUGCUAUGGCUGCAUAAGUCAAUUGGAGUGAAUCUCCUCGACUCUUAAGUAGUAAAAGUGGGAAACGGCCAAUGGACGACCUACUAAAAUGAUAAAUCUCACCGUUUACCUGAUUAUUUACUUGAUUACCUGCUUACCUGAUUACUUGACUACUUGAUUAUGUGAUUACCGUAAAUUACGUGUUCAUAUGAACUUUUCCACAGUUUUACGGCGAGUGUGUAUUUCAUCUCACUCGACCUACAAAAUUGAUAAAUUUUUACUGUUUACCGAUUUACUUGAUUACUUGUGCAUAUUGUAAGUUCUAAGUUGAAUUGGGCCCUGCCCUUGAUUACUGACUUACUCGAGUCAGGGUUGGGUUCGGUCGGGUAGGUUAGAAUCUUGGGACACCGUUUCGGUAUACUCGAGUACUACCAUUGGAGGGAUAAGGUGAUGGCCAAACAAACCGAGGAGAUUCUGAAGUUAUAAGAUACAGUUGACCGAAAUGGUUCCACUGGAACACCGUAUCCUUCAAUGUGUGUUUAUUUCACAUAAUGAUAACUGUUUCAUGCUAAUAUGCUAACGUGCCACCCUGAGCCAUACCUGUGAUAUACUCAAAUUACUUGUACAUGAUAACCGUCGCAUUUUAAUGUACUAAUGUGAAAUCUUGAACCAUACGUGUGGUAUGCUCAAAUUACUUGAUUUAUUAGACCUGCUAGAGUGUCUUGGAACCUCACUGGGCUGUGUAGCUCAUUUCACGUUUUUGUUUUCCUUAACAGGGUUUGAGACCAAGAGUGCUCGUGAAUAGUGCUAGAUUGUUUUCUUUUUGAAGAUUUUAAGUUGUAUUAUAACGGAUAGUUAUAGUACUUAUUCCGUUGGGUGUAUUUAAGCUUGAAAGCUAACUAAUUGUAAGUGUGAG
Molecule: long non-coding RNA, 3634 nt
Filed under: Coffea arabica (coffee)
Lineage: Eukaryota; Viridiplantae; Streptophyta; Magnoliopsida; Gentianales; Rubiaceae
Description: long non-coding RNA (CARA_LNC000547)
Source: RNAcentral